This 668-nucleotide ribosomal RNA is filed under the name Cystastrum externum. RNAcentral's name for it is "LSU rRNA". It matches the Rfam family "Eukaryotic large subunit ribosomal RNA", at positions 41 to 696 of the family's 3401-position model. Lineage: Eukaryota; Fungi; Basidiomycota; Cystobasidiomycetes; Cystobasidiales; Cystobasidiaceae. The record is from RNAcentral.
UAUCAAUAAGCGGAGGAAAAGAAACUAACAAGGAUUCCCCUAGUAACGGCGAGUGAAGUGGGAAAAGCUCAACUUUGAAAUCUGGCACCUUCGGUGUCCGAAUUGUAGUCUCUAGAAGUGUUUUCCGUGCUGGCCCAUGUGUGAGUCUGUUGGAACACAGCGUCAUAGAGGGUGACAACCCCGUUCAUAACAUGGACCCCAGUGCUUUGUGAUACACUCUCGACGAGUCGAGUUGUUUGGGAAUGCAGCUCAAAUUGGGUGGUAAAUUCCAUCUAAAGCUAAAUAUUGGCGAGAGACCGAUAGCAAACAAGUACCGUGAGGGAAAGAUGAAAAGCACUUUGGAAAGAGAGUUAACAGUACGUGAAAUUGCUAAAAGGGAAACGAUUGAAGUCAGACGUGCGUGGUGCGGUUCAGCUCUGGUUCGCCAGAGUGUAUUCCGUGCCUUUGCAGGCCAACAUCGGUUUCACGAGGCGGAUAAAGGUUUGAGAAAUGUGGCACCUUCGGGUGUGUUAUAGUCUCUUGCUGAAUACGCCUCGAGGGACCGAGGAACGCAGCGCGCCGCAAGGCAAAGCCUCUGGGCUUUUCGCGCUUAGGAUGUUGGUGAAAUGGCUUUAAACGACCCGUCUUGAAACACGGACCAAGGAGUCUAACAUGCUUGCAGGUUGGGG